Molecule: ribosomal RNA, 2238 nt
Filed under: Triticum aestivum (bread wheat)
Lineage: Eukaryota; Viridiplantae; Streptophyta; Magnoliopsida; Poales; Poaceae
Description: partial small subunit ribosomal RNA
Source: RNAcentral
AUGGCGAUCCUCGGGGAGCUCGGGACCGAGAUCCUCAUCCCCGUCUGCGGGGUCGUCGGCAUCGUCUUCGCCGUCGCGCAGUGGUUCAUCGUCUCCAAGGUCAAGGUCACCCCCGGCGCCGCCUCCGCCGCCGGCGGCGGCAAGAACGGCUACGGCGACUACCUCAUCGAGGAGGAGGAGGGCCUCAACGACCACAACGUCGUCGUCAAGUGCGCCGAGAUCCAGACCGCCAUCUCUGAAGGAGCAACCUCAUUUCUUUUCACCAUGUACCAGUAUGUUGGUAUGUUCAUGGUCGUCUUUGCUGCGGUUAUCUUCGUCUUCCUUGGGUCGAUUGAGGGAUUCAGCACAAAGGGCCAGCCCUGCACCUACAGCACGGGCACCUGCAAGCCAGCUCUCUACACCGCUCUCUUCAGCACUGCGUCUUUCUUGCUUGGAGCCAUCACAUCUCUGGUGUCUGGUUUCCUUGGGAUGAAGAUCGCCACAUACGCCAAUGCCAGGACGACCCUGGAAGCAAGGAAGGGUGUUGGGAAGGCAUUUAUCACCGCUUUCCGCUCUGGUGCAGUCAUGGGCUUCUUGUUGUCAUCAAGUGGGCUUGUGGUUCUUUACAUCACCAUCAAUGUGUUCAAGAUGUACUACGGUGAUGACUGGGAAGGUCUUUUUGAGUCCAUCACUGGUUAUGGUCUGGGUGGGUCUUCCAUGGCUCUAUUCGGAAGAGUUGGUGGAGGUAUCUACACCAAGGCUGCUGACGUGGGUGCUGACCUUGUUGGCAAAGUUGAGAGGAACAUUCCUGAAGAUGACCCAAGGAACCCAGCUGUAAUUGCUGACAACGUCGGUGACAAUGUUGGUGAUAUUGCUGGGAUGGGAUCAGAUCUCUUUGGUUCAUACGCAGAAUCGUCCUGCGCUGCUCUUGUUGUUGCUUCUAUCUCAUCUUUUGGAAUCAACCAUGAUUUCACUGCGAUGUGCUACCCACUGCUCGUGAGCUCUGUUGGCAUCAUUGUUUGCUUGCUCACCACCCUGUUUGCGACUGAUUUCUUUGAGAUCAAGGCUGCAAGCGAAAUUGAACCUGCUCUGAAGAAGCAGCUCAUCAUCUCCACUGCUUUAAUGACUAUCGGUGUUGCGGUGAUCAGCUGGUUGGCUCUCCCAGCUAAGUUCACCAUCUUCAACUUCGGUGCUCAGAAGGACGUGUCCAACUGGGGCCUGUUCUUCUGUGUGGCAGUUGGUCUGUGGGCUGGUCUGAUUAUUGGGUUUGUGACCGAAUACUACACUAGCAAUGCCUACAGCCCUGUGCAAGAUGUUGCCGAUUCCUGCAGAACUGGUGCUGCCACCAACGUCAUCUUCGGUCUUGCCCUUGGUUACAAGUCAGUCAUCAUCCCAAUUUUCGCUAUUGCUGUCAGCAUCUACGUCAGCUUCUCUAUUGCUGCAAUGUACGGCAUUGCAAUGGCUGCUCUUGGCAUGCUUAGCACAAUGGCAACUGGUCUUGCUAUCGAUGCUUAUGGUCCCAUUAGUGACAAUGCUGGUGGAAUUGCUGAGAUGGCUGGCAUGAGCCACAGAAUCCGUGAGAGGACUGAUGCUCUUGAUGCUGCUGGCAACACAACCGCUGCUAUUGGAAAGGGUUUCGCCAUUGGAUCAGCUGCUCUUGUGUCCCUGGCACUUUUUGGUGCCUUCGUCAGCAGAGCUGGUGUGAAGGUCGUUGAUGUCCUAUCUCCCAAGGUGUUCAUUGGCCUGAUUGUCGGAGCCAUGCUUCCGUACUGGUUCUCUGCCAUGACCAUGAAGAGUGUUGGAAGUGCUGCUCUCAAGAUGGUUGAGGAGGUCCGCAGGCAGUUCAAUACCAUCCCUGGACUGAUGGAGGGAACUGCCAAGCCCGACUAUGCCACCUGUGUCAAGAUCUCCACUGAUGCUUCCAUCAGGGAGAUGAUUCCUCCGGGUGCUUUGGUCAUGCUCACCCCCCUCAUUGUCGGAACCCUCUUUGGCGUGGAAACCCUGUCUGGUGUUCUUGCUGGUGCCCUUGUUUCUGGAGUACAGUACAUUGAGGCCGGCAACAGCGAGCACGCGAGGUCCCUUGGCCCCAAGGGUUCAGACUGCCACAAGGCGGCCGUGAUCGGCGACACCAUCGGAGACCCCCUCAAGGACACCUCAGGCCCGUCGCUCAACAUCCUCAUCAAGCUGAUGGCCGUCGAGUCCCUCGUGUUCGCGCCCUUCUUCGCCACGUACGGAGGUGUGCUGUUCAAGUACAUCUAG